Molecule: long non-coding RNA, 2499 nt
Organism: Myodes glareolus (Bank vole)
Lineage: Eukaryota; Metazoa; Chordata; Mammalia; Rodentia; Cricetidae
Source: RefSeq, a predicted model, not a curated record
AGCCCGCGGAAACAGAAGGCUUUUACUCCGUGGAGACACGUUAGAGCGUGUUUAUAAAUACACACUUUACUAUUUUACUAGAGCACUGGUCGACACCAGGUUUUGUUAUGCCAGUGAAGGACAUCUGCUAAAAAUAAAGUCCGUGAAGAUUGUUUGGCCUUCUACAAUUCUGAGAAAGAGUUUCCACUAACAGAGUCCAGCCCUGUUCCUUCCAGAAACUGACUCUGGUUGUCUCAUGUGGACCACAAGGAUAUAACCACAUGGACAGGACCACAGGCAAAUCAGCCGUGUUUACGGGAGCUUCUGUGAGCCGAGAUCCACUUCACAGUCCCCAGGUGAUACCUCCCCCGAGAGCUUGGUUUCUGUCCUGUCAGUGGCUCUUGUUACCACAGAGAAGCUCCCAUGGAGGACAGAAGACAGUUGGAUCCUCUGUAACUGGAGUUAAAGAUGGAGCCCAGAUCUUCAAUCUUGGUGGCAAGAGCCUUCUCCUACUGAGCUGUCUCAUCAGUCCUCAAAUAUCUUUUAGUAUUUCUUUCAUUUGCACUUGAUUUUAUUUUUUGACACAUGAGAUGAUUUAAUAUUGAUUGCCAACUCAAUGAGAUUUAGGAUCAACUAAUUAACCAAGCCUCUGAGUGUGACCAUGAGGGGCUUUCUAGAGCAGUUUUACAGAGGGGAGGACUCACUCAGAUAUGGGCGGCACUAGAACAAGCCCCACCUUCUUGUAUUAGUUAUCUGUCUCAGGAUUCUGAGAAAGUGCCUGACAGAAGGACUUAAAAGGGGGUUGUUUUCUCACAUUUCUACAGUUCAGGUCAUCAUAGUGAGGAAAUUGGGGUCGCAGGAGCUUGAGGUGGCUGGUCACACGGCGUCACCCACUGUCAGGAAGCCGAUGAACCCCGGAGCUCAGCUCACUUUCUCCUGCUCAGUCGAGCCCCUUCACCCACUGAGCCCGCUGGCCAGCCCAGACUCUGGUUUUUCAAAUAAAAACCUUGUUGAGAUAGAAAACACACACAACAUAAAAACACUCUCAAAUUGUAUAAUUCCAUCAUUUUUAGCAUAUUCACAGAAUUAUGCGGCCAUUGCCACCAUCUCAGAACACCGUGGAGAGACAGCUGAGAGGUUAAUGGCUCCUACUUCUCUGUCAGAGUCCUGGGGUUCAGAUCACAGCAAACGGCUCACAACGCCUGUAACUCCAGCUUCAAGAGACCCAGCACCCCUUUCCAGCCUCUAUGAACACCCAUGCGCAAAAGGAAAACUUAAAGAAGAAACCACACACUUUAUAAGUCACCCUUCAUUUUGCUUCCCAGCGCUAACUUUUAAACUGGUGCUGGGCCCAUUUUGGUUGGCGUGAGUGACAGCUGGCCGUUACUCCAUGACAGUCCAGAGUCUGACCAUACAGAACAGAAUCGUAAUCUUUCAGGUGCAGUGAAAAGUGGCUUGGGAACUGGUCAAGGGCAAACUCAGCAGGGAAUGUAAGAGGGACACAGUGAGUUUCUACCUCACCCAGUCCUGCAGGCAGCAGGAGGCAGCGCGUAGCUUCUUCUCAUCCAGUGUAACACCUUUUUCUCAGGAUCCAACAUGCCAGCUGGAGCUCUGGCCAUCAAAUCCUCUUUCCAGAUAGCAAGAACGAGGACAGCGUGAAAGCUGCAUGCCAUUGGUUUCUAGGAAAGCGUCUCAGUGGCUUUCAAAAACACAUCUACUAACAUCCCAUUGACGGGAACUCGCUCAUAUUGCCCAGACUGCAAAGAAGGCUGGGGAAUUCAGCCUUUUUAAAAUCAGCCACGGUGGCUCACAUGAGCACACUGAGGGAGACUAGGCGUUGGAACAUGUAUCCAUUAGCAAAUACUCAAAUAGUACUGCAUAGCAAAAGACCUGUAACGUUGGUAUACAACAACGAGCCCACCCCCACUUGCUCUCAGGUAUUGUUAGUUGGGAAACUUUGAAUCCAGCAACAGGUUUGAUAGGGUUACAUUCAGCUUGAGGGUGGGUCCUGUCCGUCCAGCUCCAUAUUUCCCCAGGACCAGCACUACUAGGGUGUGUUCCCUUCAUGGCAGAUGGAAGGUACACAAGAAGUAAGUCAAAGACACGUGAUGCUUCCAGAAGCCUCUUGAGUGACUCCUUCCCAUACUCCGUUGCCAGGUUCAUAUCAAGGACAGGACAGGUUCAUAUCAAGGACAGAAGGGACACUCUAUUCAUCUUGAUACAUAACAUUGCAAAAUCACACAGCAAAGUGUCCAUGUAUAAAAAAUCCACAGGGAGCACUUGAGCAUGAUGAGCAAUGAUGCAUUGCAAUACAGAAGAUAGAGCUCGCCAGGGGUCCUGGUCAGCUUUGACUGUCAAUCAGUCACAACCCAGAGUCAUCUGAUAGGGAAGUUUCAACUGAGGAACUGUCCAGAUCACAUAUGUCUGGGGGAGGUGAUGAGGGAUUGACCUCUGUAUUCUAUGAAUAUGUGUAAUUACCAUUGGUUAGUAAAGAAGCUGCUUCAGGCUAUAGCCGGGCAG